Molecule: long non-coding RNA, 2690 nt
Organism: Zingiber officinale
Lineage: Eukaryota; Viridiplantae; Streptophyta; Magnoliopsida; Zingiberales; Zingiberaceae
Exons: 2
Source: RefSeq, a predicted model, not a curated record
CACGCAGUAGCCGAUAUAGGGUUUCUUGCGAUCUGGAUCUGGCCCUCAACCUGCCCGUCCUUGAUAGGCAAAUCGCAGGUGAUCUGGAUUUUUUCCCCUCACAUGUCUUCGAGUGUUUUUGUUUUUAUGUAGAGAUCUUGGUGAAGGCCUUUUUCACGAUCCAAGCGGUUCUCUGCGGUGUGGUUCUUCGCUGCUUUGCGGAUUAAAAGAUGGUUAUGGCUUCCGAUCAGUUUCUUGCGGCUGUUCCACCGAUUGGUUCGUUCUGUUCUUGCUGCCGAGGAAGCAUUGCAGGCGCGGAAGCAGAUCUUCGGCUUGAAGUUCGGAUCGACGGGCGUCUUCGAUCCACUAACUCCAGUUGCCAGGAAAAUAGACGUUGUUUGCCUGAAUGAUUAAGUUCUUGCUCAGAACUUGUCAGUUGUAAAGGAGUGGAUGCCUCUUGGGGAUCAGAACAAGACGGAUGGGCUGGGUUCUUGAUGAUAGACUGGGAAGGUAAUAUGCAUUUGAACAUGUUGCAUCGACCUUUGCCAUGUUGGGUGCGCUCGCAUGGCAGGUCACCCCUGCUUAAUAAAAAGUAAUAUUUUUUGGGUGUUGGCGGGGAGAUCGCACGGGGCAUUUGAUUUUAUUCCCCGGGUUCUCCAUCGCCUGUGUGUGUGUGUGUCUGCCUCUACCUCUUUGAAUUUCAUUUUCCCUAUCGUCCCAUCUCGCUAUCAGUUAAAUGUGGUUUCAUGGCGAUAUCAGCAAUAUCCCGAUUCAACCGCUGCAUAUUCAAUUGUCCAUCGCCUACGCAUCCAUUCCAAGUGGUGAAAUCAUGGGGUCCCCAUCAAUUUGAACCAUCUUUCUGAAAUGAUAAGGUACAAUUCUUAUAAAGACUCAGUAGCUCAGUUUGGUAUUUGCUUAACAUGAUUAGUGGAUUUAGUGAUAUGAGACAGACGUAUACAUGUUAAUUUCGCCCCAAUCUGACUGUAGAGGAGCAAGUUUUUUGAUAAAAAGCAACGUGAGUGAAAGAAGAAUAGAAUUCUAUGAAUCUAUAUUUGGUUUAGGGUGCAUUGGAUAGAAUGGAAUGAAAUGGUUCAUUUACUCUGAUUUAUUCAUUAUUCCACUACAUUCAAGUAUAUCACAAUGUCAAGUUAUCAUUUCAAAACUAAAUGUAGAUAAAUUAUAUGAGUGACUUGGACUGAUUUGACCAUUGAUAUUGGGUCAAUCCUAUCUAGUAAGACAAUCUGGCUGGCUAAUUCAAUUGAGUGAGCUUGGUGGUCAGUUCCUUGGAUUCGACAUGUUUGUUGGUUUGAUCUGAUGGAUCAACCAAGCUUGGCAUGCCAGAAAGACAAGUAACUCAGGCACAUUGAACUUAUCAAAACCAAGUAAUAUUGAUUAUGCAUGAUUAAAACCAAAUAAUGAAUAUAAAUUGAUUAUACCUCUUAAUUUCAUUUCGUUCCUUUAGUUUUAUUCUAAUUAUAUUUCAUUUAAUUAUACUCUAUUAAAUUUACUCAUUACUUGGGUACAUACAUUACAAUUUUGGUUCAUUAUUUUGCAGAUUGAUUCAUUUAAGAACUAAAGAUUAUCAAAUUUGCAUACUUUUUUUUUUGAACGCACAUAUCACUGGUAUUGAUAGAUGUGGUUCCUCUUCGUAAUCCACGGUGUGCGACUUAAUCAUUGUAAAUUGUUUAUCAAAUACAGUAAAUUGCAAAGUUUUUAUGGUCACUAAUAAUUGAUAGCAAAUGGUGUUAUAACUAGCUUGAAAUGUUUAAUAUGGAUCAUUAUCUUAAGAAGUAAUUUUUCAAAUGGCAAUCAAGUUUUUGUUUCUUAAAAAUAAAUUUUUGUAGUUAAUAUCCCUCCAUUACUGCCAUAUCAUCAUAUACAGUCGGUAAAACUUAACCAAGGCUAAAUAUGUUGAAACAAUUACGUUUAUGGGUUCAAAUAUAUUCUCAAGUUCAUGAUUGAUGUUGUGAUUGUUGAAAAUUUUACUGUCAUAUCUUCUGUACAUUUCUACAUUUUUCUGUGUGCUGUUUCCCAUUUAAUCCUGUAGAACAGUUGUAAAUUCGGGUCUGGUUCGGUGAUGGGUUUGUUGGGAAAAAUAUGUAAACAUAAUUGGGGUAAUUGUGAAUGUAAAAUCAUGUAGUAGAAAAGCCUCUUAUGCUCUACUCAUUACAUGGCUUACAACAGUCUUGAGAGUUCCUGACUACGGGGGUAAAGAUUUUGCAGCUGAAGCUCUAUAGAAGUUUGUCGAUUGUAUUCAAUUUUAAACAUGCUGCUGCCUAAGAUUGUCUGUAGCUCUGUCAAUUGAACUCGGGGCGCAUGUAAAAUAUCUGGAAAAGACUUGGAAGCAUCUCGCCCUGCAUUUUGGUGGAAUCAAUUCUCGGUUCAAGAUUCGGACUACUUUUGCUUGGAUUUGUUGGUACCUGAAGCUUAAAAUUUCGUUGCCACAUCUGUCCGAAAUUGAGAUACAUUCAUGGAGCAAAAAUUUGGGCGUAUUAUGACUAUUGUUUUGAGCACUCUUAUGUGAAGUCAAGUUCUGAAGACUCCUGUAAGAACAAACUUGAAUUUGUAAGCCUUUUUUUGGAUUCACUUCUAGAUUUCUAUUUGGCAGAAGUCAAAUUCAUCAAACGCUUACAAGUUUUUGUGAUUGCAACUUUAACUAUAUCCUUACCCGAUGACUUCGAGAACCAUUUUAAAUUGCUGAUUAUGCACCC